RNAcentral lists this ribosomal RNA (323 nucleotides) under Filosa sp. RNAcentral describes it as "SSU rRNA". The stretch from base 82 to 323 matches the Rfam family "Eukaryotic small subunit ribosomal RNA", at positions 712 to 955 of the family's 1831-position model. RNAcentral also lists the same sequence under 1 other name. Lineage: Eukaryota; Cercozoa. The record is from RNAcentral.
GAUUUCUGGCUUGACGCGCCUGGCCCGCCUCGGUUACGAGUGUGAGUGCCGGCGCGCGUCUGCCAUCCUUCUAGAAAACGGCUCGGGUCCUUCACUGGAUUCGGGUCGCGAUCUAGAUCUAUUACUUUGAAAAAAUUAGAGUGUUUAAAGCAGGCGUUUGCUGUGAAUACAUUAGCAUGGAAUAAUAAUUUAGGACUUUGGUUCUAUUUUGUUGGUUUCUAGGACUGAAGUAAUGAUUGAUAGGGAUAGUUGGGGGUGCUAGUAUUCAGUGGCCAGAGGUGAAAUUCUUGGAUUCACUGAAGACUAACUUAUGCGAAAGCAUU